Molecule: ribosomal RNA, 339 nt
Filed under: Actias selene (Indian moon moth)
Lineage: Eukaryota; Metazoa; Arthropoda; Insecta; Lepidoptera; Saturniidae
Description: partial 12S ribosomal RNA
Source: RNAcentral
UAAACUAGGAUUAGAUACCCUMUUMUUAAAAAAUUAAAGAAAUAAUMCUAAAAGAGUAAGUCAAAUUUUAUUGAAACUUAAAUAACUUGGCGGUAUUUUAGUUCACUCAGAGGAAUCUGUCUAUUAAUUGAUAAUWCCGAAUAAAUUUACUUAAUUUAUUAUUUUGUAUAUCGUUGUUUAAAAAAUAUUUUUUAAUAAUUAAUAAUAUUUCAACUCUUCAAUAAAAAAUUAAAUCAGAUCAAGAUGAAGAUUAUAAUUAAGAAUAUAAUGGAUUACAAUAAAUUUAUUUAUUAUGCAAUUUUAACUAGCAAUAAAUUCCACAUMUCCACACACCCCUUG